GGUCGGUUAGCUCAGUUGGUUAGAGCGUGGUGCUAAUACCUUUGUCCUCUUGCUUUAGCAAGAGACUUCAGUUAACGCCAAGGUCGCGGGUUCGACCCCCGUACUGACCA
Transfer RNA from Xylona heveae TC161, 110 nucleotides. It matches the Rfam family "tRNA". Rfam says of the family: Transfer RNA (tRNA) molecules are approximately 80 nucleotides in length. NCBI's taxonomy places the organism in Eukaryota, Fungi, Ascomycota, Xylonomycetes, Xylonales, Xylonaceae. The record is from Rfam.